Molecule: transfer RNA, 78 nt
Filed under: Chryseosolibacter indicum
Lineage: Bacteria; Pseudomonadati; Bacteroidota; Cytophagia; Cytophagales; Chryseotaleaceae
Description: Chryseosolibacter indicus tRNA-Val
Source: RNAcentral
GGAUACUGGGGCUGCUAGGCGUGGCCAUCCCGCUGACAAGCGGGAAGAAUCAGACGGGUUCGAUGCCCGUAGUAUCCG